GGCUGUAUGGCGCAAUUGGCAGUGCUAUAGGUUUAACCUCCUUAGUACCUACACCUUACCUUACAAAGUAUAAAGUCGUUGGUUCGAAUCCAGCUAUGACCA
Molecule: transfer RNA, 102 nt
Filed under: Phaeoacremonium minimum UCRPA7
Lineage: Eukaryota; Fungi; Ascomycota; Sordariomycetes; Togniniales; Togniniaceae
Rfam family: tRNA
About the family: Transfer RNA (tRNA) molecules are approximately 80 nucleotides in length. Their secondary structure includes four short double-helical elements and three loops (D, anti-codon, and T loops).
Source: Rfam by way of RNAcentral